RNAcentral lists this ribosomal RNA (429 nucleotides) under bacterium. RNAcentral describes it as "partial 16S ribosomal RNA". It matches the Rfam family "Bacterial small subunit ribosomal RNA", at positions 355 to 776 of the family's 1533-position model. The record is from RNAcentral.
UAGGGAAUCUUCGGCAAUGGGGGCAACCCUGACCGAGCAACGCCGCGUGAGUGAAGAAGGUUUUCGGAUCGUAAAGCUCUGUUGUAAGAGAAGAACGUGUGUGAGAGUGGAAAGUUCACACAGUGACGGUAACUUACCAGAAAGGGACGGCUAACUACGUUCCAGCAGCCGCGGUAAUACGUAGGUCCCGAGCGUUGUCCGGAUUUAUUGGGCGUAAAGCGAGCGCAGGCGGUUUAAUAAGUCUGAAGUUAAAGGCAGUGGCUUAACCAGUGUUCGCUUUGGAAACUGUUAAACUUGAGUGCAGAAGGGGAGAGUGGAAUUCCAUGUGUAGCGGUGAAAUGCGUAGAUAUAUGGAGGAACACCGGUGGCGAAAGCGGCUCUCUGGUCUGUAACUGACGCUGAGGCUCGAAAGCGUGGGGAGCAAACAGG